Molecule: ribosomal RNA, 484 nt
Filed under: uncultured bacterium
Lineage: Bacteria
Description: partial 16S ribosomal RNA
Rfam family: Bacterial small subunit ribosomal RNA
Source: RNAcentral
AUUGAACGCUGGCGGCAGGCCUAACACAUGCAGGUCGAGCGGAUGAAGGGAGCUUGCUCCUGGAUUCAGCGGCGGACGGGUGAGUAAUGCCUAGGAAUCUGCCUGGUAGUGGGGGAUAACGUCCGGAAACGGGCGCUAAUACCGCAUACGUCCUGAGGGAGAAAGUGGGGGAUCUUCGGACCUCACGCUAUCAGAUGAGCUUAGGUCGGAUUAGCUAGUUGGUGGGGUAAAGGCCUACCAAGGCGACGAUCCGUAACUGGUCUGAGAGGAUGAUCAGUCACACGGGAACUGAGACACGGUCCAGACUCCUACGGGAGGCAGCAGUGGGGAAUAUUGGACAAUGGGCGAAAGCCUGAUCCAGCCAGGCCGCGUGUGUUAAGAAGGUCUUCGGAUUGUAAAGCACGUUAAGUUGGGAGGAAGGGCAGUAAGUUAAUACCUUGCUGUUUUGACGUUACCAACAGAAGAAGCACCGGCUAACUUCGUG